Oncorhynchus tshawytscha (Chinook salmon) is the source of this 360-nucleotide long non-coding RNA. The record is from Ensembl. NCBI's taxonomy places the organism in Eukaryota, Metazoa, Chordata, Actinopteri, Salmoniformes, Salmonidae.
GCACAAACAGGUUGCCACCUUAAGAAGGGACAUUGGAUUUGGAUCAUUUUAAAAUGCUCAAUAAUACCACCCCCUUGCCCUCAGAACAGUCUCAAUUCGUCUGGGCAUGAACUCUACAAGGUGUCGAAGGUGUUCCACAUGGAUGCUGGCUCAUGUUGACUCCAAUGCUUCCCACAGUUGUGUCAAGUUGGUUGGAUGUUCUUUGGGUGGUAUUAAAAACCCAGCAGCGUUGCAGUUCUUGAUAGGGCAUUGGGACCACCAUGAGCCGCCAGAACAGCUUCAUUACACCUUGGCAUGUAUUCUACAAGUGUCUGGAACUUCCUGUGUGGAAGCACCUGCGUUCAAUAUACUUUGUAUCCC